CCUACGGGAGACAGCAGUGAGGAAUAUUGGUCAAUGGACGAGAGUCUGAACCAGCCAAGUAGCGUGAAGGAUGACUGCCCUAUGGGUUGUAAACUUCUUUUAUAUGGGAAUAAAAUGUUCCACGUGUGGGAUUUUGUAUGUACCAUAUGAAUAAGGAUCGGCUAACUCCGUGCCAGCAGCCGCGGUAAUACGGAGGAUCCGAGCGUUAUCCGGAUUUAUUGGGUUUAAAGGGAGCGUAGGUGGAUUGUUAAGUCAGUUGUGAAAGUUUGCGGCUCAACCGUAAAAUUGCAGUUGAAACUGGCAGUCUUGAGUACAGUAGAGGUGGGCGGAAUUCGUGGUGUAGCGGUGAAAUGCUUAGAGAUCACGAAGAACUCCGAUUGCGAAGGCAGUUCACUGGACUGCAACUGACACUGAGGCUCGAAAGUGUGGGUAUCAAACAGGAUUAGAUACCCUAGUAGUC
RNAcentral lists this ribosomal RNA (460 nucleotides) under uncultured bacterium. Its description in RNAcentral is "partial 16S ribosomal RNA". It matches the Rfam family "Bacterial small subunit ribosomal RNA", at positions 338 to 795 of the family's 1533-position model. The record is from RNAcentral.